CUCAUCAAACGACUCCUUGCAGAGAUGCUUACAGGCGGCAUCACUGCACCUCAGACAGGUGUGAGCAAUGGGCGUACCUGCCUUCAGAAGGGCGAUGUGUUUACCUGGUUGCGGCCAAUCCCAUAUUAACCCUUCUCCUCCCGCGUGGACCCCCCCCCCCCCCCCGGGAGAAGAAACAGGGAACUUCAAUGGAGGGGACGCCCUGCUCCGGGAUGGGGGAGGGGAGCAGAGGCGGCAGGAGGCGGCAGGAGGCGGCAACCCUUCGGACCUGCUGUGAUUUAUUUGUUUUCGCAGACGAAAAGGGAAAAGGAAAACCAAAAAACAAAAUAGGCAGCACAGAAGGACCGCAAGGCACCGCUCAUUUUCAGACACUCCUGGCAUUUCAGAUGGAGUGGAAGGUGCAGCGGGACACGAAGGGAACGAAAGUUGAACGUGAGGAAAUUAUUUGCUAUGGGAGAGCAGGAGCUCCCAUUCUGCCCCUCAGCUAAACGUGUGUUGUGCACCCGGCCCGCAAGGAGCGCAGAGACAGCCCCGAAGGAAACAGAAUGCGCACUCAUCGCCCUGCUUCUGGUCCCUUCGCGACUGGUUUAGUUAUUUCAAAAAUGGAAUUGGACGUUUCUUUCCCUUCAAAUGUAUACUUGCAACACCCCCAUGCUUGCACCACCUCCAUGCUAAUAUGCCCGACUCCUACCCUCCCGAAGCCUUGUCCUUUUAUGGGAAAGCCAGCUCUGAUGAGCACGUGAGCCCGUCCCAAGGAACACAAGACACCGGCCUGUCCUCAGGCCAGAGACGAGCCCACUGAGUCUUGUCCCUACUGUGGGUCAAGGGGCGUAUUACCAACGUACGCGUGAUUAAAACUCAUCAAAGGGAGUAAGCCUAAGUCUCAGUCCUUCUCCAGAGAAAGGGAAACGCCAUCUGGGAAGUCCCCAGCGUUAUGAUGACAGCUACAAACUGCCAGUCACUCAUGGCUCCCAAACAAAGAGUCCAACUGCAACAGGGACUCGACUUGUUCAGAACGUGCUGGUGUGGACCAGCGCCCCAAACAAAAGAGCAAGCACGCAGGUACAGAGACCCACCCCUGACCCCCAGAAGCUCAAAAGCUCAAAAUCUUAUAGCUUUAGGGGAAACCUCAUCAGAGGCAGCAGGCCGAGGCCUCAAGCUGCGGGCCUGACUGUACUGCAUAACCGGGCACACCACGGACCUUGAACUACACGGCUCAACAAUGCUUCCUGGCAGUAAAUUUGCCAUCAGGGUAACUAUAAUUAAUACAAACACUACUCAGAGUUACGGAGGAAACAGAAAUACAGUUUUGUGGAGGACCCUUGGGUUUUUCACGAAAGAAUUGCAAAAUCUGCCCACCCGGAUACGUAUAAAUCUGAGGAUUAUUUUACAAAUCAUCACAAUGACAAAACUGUACAGUCUGGCAACUCAGCUGUCACGGAUGUUAACUUAAACCUCUAGCUUUCAGAAGUAAGUGCCUACGAUUCCAUUACUGCUAGAACAGGCACUUUAAAGUCAUAUCAGCCCAUAUAUAAAGUAUUCUGACCCAAGUCCUACAAGAAAUAAGGAGGACCUGGACAUUUAUAAUUGCACUUGACCUGACCGUGAAGCUAUAAUCAAGAGACCAGGACACUUUCAAUACCAACUUGGACCAAGCUGAAUACUUUCCAAACCAUACACCAUAGGGCAUCCUUACAGGUUAAAUGAUGCACACAAUUUUAAUGCAGGCUAGCGUGACGUCCCCCGAAAUGAAAUUUGACCCGGUAUCUCCAGGGAGAUGUUCAUCCCCAUCCAUGAAGACCUAACCAUGAGACCCUCCCGAGCGUUAAUGAGCAUGGCCCUCAAAUUCCAGACGACACCUUAGCGUUUUACUGCCCGUUAAAAAAAAGGUAGAGCAAGGCAGCGGUGCCAGCUGGGAGCAGGGAAAACAGAAGAUAAAGUGUUUCCACCUAUUAGAGUUGGAGGGAACGACAAGCUCAAUCAGAAUAUUUCAUAUAGAAACUCAUCCGCUCAUCUGGCUUUCAUCAUCAAAAACAAUCUUCCACUACGGCUAUUCUGUCCUCCCUACAUGGAACUAAACUGCCCAAACUAGUAGGGAGACCAGCCAUUUUAUGACGCUUUGGACUCUCUCAAAAUCUGGCCUAGCAUUUAGGCCAUAAUAGAUGCUCCAUACAUAAUCCUUGAUAAUAAUAAAGAAGGAAAAGAAGGAAGAAAAGGAUAGAAAAGAGUCUCUCGGUUGUAGUCUUGAAUGCGGAGAAUAAUUAUAGGUAAUGAACAGACCCGAAAUGAAGAAACAACUUCAGUUUUUCUCUUGUGACUUCAGCUAAGACUGCCCAACACCCCUGAUUAAACCCGGGUGCAAGUUCAGAAGGUUCUAUCUUGUCAUUCGGAAUCAGCUGUUCCUCAGCUUAGAUGGAGUUCUUCGAGGAGUUCUUGCCAUUCAUUCAACUGGGGUCUGUGGAACACAUUUAACCCGAAUGGCGUUUAUCCUACCCUGGCUCAGCUAACAGCAAGGCGUGACAACUGGAUUUUUAGUUGAGUGUUCUCUUGGAUGGCAUCCUAGUGAGAUAAGACAGAGCAAAAGAAGCCAUGUCUGCGGGCACACAUCUCUAAUGAGGGGUGAAGUUUCAUUGGUGUGUGGGCAACAGUACGCAUUCUAGGCUAGAGGACCACUCGUGUCAUUAACAAGACUCUAAAUCCCAACAGCGCUUUGUAAUACAUCCUGUAUUACAAAAGUUCAUAACUUCCUGUCAGAGUUGACAAUUACUCCUUUUUUUUUUUUUUACCCACAGCAUGCAGCAGCUUGAUAGAUCUCACUUCCCAGGCAGGGAUUCAACCUGGGCCACAGCAGUGAAUCCUAACCACUAGACCACCAGGGAACUCCCCAGCAAUUAUUCUUGAGAAAGGUUGAUCUUCCUAAAUUAGGUAGUCAGGAAUAUUAACUUAACAUGAGGGUUUUUCCACCCAGAGGCAUCUUUCUCCUGUACCAACAAGAGCCCCACGUGCCAAGGAUAAUGGUAAACGUUUUAUGCAUAUUACCUACUCACAGCAAUUUUGAAAGGUAGAAAUUACCUUCUCCAUUUCACAGGUUAGGAAGCUCAGAGAGGUUAAAUAAUUUGUCAAAGGUCACACAGCUAUCCAAUGAAAGAGUUAGAAGCUAAAACCAGCUCUUAGAUGCAAAAGGCCAUAUCCUUAUUGGUUACACAACUCAUGGCCUGAAACUUCAUCCCAUACUCAUGAAGCGAGGGCUGAACUCUCUCUCACUUCAUUUGGAACCACUUACCGGGUUCCUCCUCUUCUCGGAGUGGCCAAUGGGGUUGGGAAUCAUACUCACAGGUAGAAAUCGGAUUUCUCUGCAAACUCCCCCAUUUAUAUGAUUUAGCACUUCGUAAAGGAAUUAUUUUAUUAUUAGUAUUGUUGCUGUUGUUACUGCUAAGGUUACACUAAGUCACAAGGCAGCACUAUAUUUUCAAAGGUGGACUAAAUUAAAAACAUGAAACAGAGCUGUCUGUUAUCCUACGGAGAUAUAAAAGUAACAAGCUAAUUCAGAAAGGACCUGAUGAGUUAGUAAUCUAAAAAAAAUUGUUCUUGGCAAAUUUCUUUCUAAGAAAACAAAGAAGUAAAACAUCAACUUAUAAAACAAAAUGAGCCAAAGGAUGCCUCCAUCGUAAAUGUGAACGGAUUGUUUGAAAGGAGGUUGCAACCUGCUUUGGAAGAAAAGUCCUGCCUAUGCCAGAAACCUCCGCCAUUAAGAGCACUGAGCACUUUUGCUCCUACUGAAAUCUUCUAAAUCCUCUCUAUGCUUGAUUUGACAUUUAGAACUGUAAAUGCAAACAAAUAAACAAAAACCUCAU
Molecule: long non-coding RNA, 3854 nt
Filed under: Sus scrofa (pig)
Lineage: Eukaryota; Metazoa; Chordata; Mammalia; Artiodactyla; Suidae
Description: lncRNA (ENSSSCG00025037331.1)
Source: RNAcentral